UACGUAGGUGGCAAGCGUUGUCCGGAAUUACUGGGUGUAAAGGGAGCGCAGACGGGAAGCCAAGUCAGCUGUGAAAACUACGGGCUUAACUUGUAGACUGCAGUUGAAACUGGUUUUCUUGAGUGAAGUAGAGGUUGGCGGAAUUCCGAGUGUAGCGGUGAAAUGCAUAGAUAUUCGGAGGUACACCGGUGGCGAAGGCGGCCAACUGGGCUUUAACUGACGCUGAGGCUCGAAAGUGUGGGGAGCAAACAGG
RNAcentral lists this ribosomal RNA (253 nucleotides) under uncultured bacterium. RNAcentral describes it as "partial 16S ribosomal RNA". It matches the Rfam family "Bacterial small subunit ribosomal RNA", at positions 524 to 776 of the family's 1533-position model. The record is from RNAcentral.